RNAcentral lists this ribosomal RNA (270 nucleotides) under uncultured bacterium. RNAcentral describes it as "partial 16S ribosomal RNA". It matches the Rfam family "Bacterial small subunit ribosomal RNA", at positions 85 to 354 of the family's 1533-position model. The record is from RNAcentral.
CCGCCGGCGACCGGCGCACGGGUGAGUAACACGUAUGCAACCUGCCCCUGUCAGGGGGACAACCCGCCGAAAGGCGGGCUAAACCCGCGUACAUGCCACCGGAGCAUCCCGGAGGCAGGAAAGGCUUCGGCCGGACAGGGAUGGGCAUGCGGCGCAUUAGGCAGUAGGCGGGGUAACGGCCCACCUAACCGACGAUGCGUAGGGGUUCUGAGAGGAAGGUCCCCCACACUGGUACUGAGACACGGACCAGACUCCUACGGAAGGCAGCAG